UUGACAUCCAGAGAAUUUAGCAGAGAUGCUUUAGCGCCUUCGGGAACUCUGAGACAGGUGCUGCAUGGCUGUCGUCAGCUCGUGUUGUGAAAUGUUGGGUUAAGUCCGCAACGAGCGCAACCCUUACCCUUUGUUGCCAGCACGUAAUGGUGGGAACUCAAAGGAGACUGCCGGUGAUAAACCGGAGGAAGGUGGGGAUGACGUCAAGUCAUCAUGGCCCUUACGAGUAGGGCUACACACGUGCUACAAUGGCGCAUACAAAGAGAAGCGACCUCGCGAGAGCAAGCGGACCUCAUAAAGUGCGUCGUAGUCCGGAUUGGAGUCUGCAACUCGACUCCAUGAAGUCGGAAUCGCUAGUAAUCGUAAAUCAGAAUGUUACGGUGAAUACGUUCCCGGGCCUUGUACACACCGCCCGUCACACCAUGGGAGUGGGUUGCAAAAGAAGUAGAUAGCUUAACCUUCGGGAGGGCGUUUACCACUUUGUGAUUCAUGACUGGGGUGAAGUCGUAACAAGGUAAGCGUAGUGCU
Molecule: ribosomal RNA, 528 nt
Filed under: uncultured bacterium
Lineage: Bacteria
Description: bacterial SSU rRNA
Rfam family: Bacterial small subunit ribosomal RNA
Source: RNAcentral